CCUACGGGAGGCAGCAGUGGGGAAUUUUGGACAAUGGGCGCAAGCCUGAUCCAGCAAUGCCGCGUGCAGGAUGAAGGCCUUCGGGUUGUAAACUGCUUUUGUACGGAACGAAACGGUGAGCUCUAAUACAGUUUGCUAAUGACGGUACCGUAAGAAUAAGCACCGGCUAACUACGUGCCAGCAGCCGCGGUAAUACGUAGGGUGCGAGCGUUAAUCGGGAUUACUGGGCGUAAAGCGUGCGCAGGCGGUGAUGUAAGGCAGAUGUGAAAUGCCCGGGCUCAACCUGGGACCUGCAUUUGUGACUGCAUCGCUAGAGUACGGUAGAGGGGGAUGGAAUUCCGCGUGUAGCAGUGAAAUGCGUAGAUAUGCGGAGGAACACCGAUGGCGAAGGCAAUCCCCUGGACCUGUACUGACGCUCAUGCACGAAAGCGUGGGGAGCAAACAGGAUUAGAUACCCUGGUAGUCCACGCCCUAAACGAUGUCAACUGGUUGUUGGGUCUUCACUGACUCAGUAACGAAGCUAACGCGUGAAGUUGACCGCCUGGGGAGUACGGCCGCAGGUUGAAACUCAAAUGAAUUGAGGCUGAGAGNGCGACGGCGACGACGAGGGGAGGUAGG
This 618-nucleotide ribosomal RNA is filed under the name uncultured bacterium. RNAcentral's name for it is "bacterial SSU rRNA". It matches the Rfam family "Bacterial small subunit ribosomal RNA", at positions 338 to 949 of the family's 1533-position model. The record is from RNAcentral.